Bactrocera oleae (olive fruit fly) is the source of this 908-nucleotide non-coding RNA. Lineage: Eukaryota; Metazoa; Arthropoda; Insecta; Diptera; Tephritidae. The record is from RefSeq and is a predicted model, not a curated record.
AAUUUCAAUAUAUUCAGUUGAGACUAUUUACAUUAGGUGACAAUUUCAUUGAGAAUAAUUUAUGUGUCCCGUGCAUUAUCCAGAGGUCGAUUGGUUUUGCUUUAGAUACAGUUUUGCUCUGUUUGUUGUUUAAAUGAAACAGUUGCAGCGGUUUUGCAGAAAGAUAAAAUAAUCGCUCGCUACACAAGCCCGUUCGGGUGCGACAAAGUAAUACAGAAAUUUCCGAACAAUUUCCGAAGCCAUAAAAUUCGACAUUAAAAGCAGAUGUUGCAGACAGCUUUAUAUACGAAUCACUGGAGCGUGACUUAAAUCGAGCUAUUGCCCGCUAAAGCGCAGAGUCAAAUGACACACACACACACACACAACCUCAGUUAAUUUUAUUGCAGCUUUUAUAGCGGCACUAUGCGGAGCAUCGGAUUACUCAUACUCCUUUCAAGAUAAUAAUAUCGUUCUCAGAUACUGUAACACCCCGUACUCAUACACAAACACAGAUGCACAUACACAUUGCAUGCAUUUCCUUAACGCUUGCAAGCUUCCUGUGUACAUAAAUCGCCAUAAAGCGGAUAUUGUAUGUUCAAGCACGAACCACACCGACCGCCGUUAAGCAGACAUGUCCAUGCAUUUUCAACUUGGAUUUCCAAACAGAUUAACUCUUCAAUUAGAGAAGCUUCAGAGAAAGCGCACUGUUUGGCUCUUUUAGAUAAGCUGACGAGUUCCAUUUAAUAUGCAGUAAGGAAGCAGACAAUAUUGCGGUUACAUGAACGGACAUUGGUAUUAACGCACAACAGACAAACAUUUCAGAUUUUAAAAAAUGUGGAGAUACACAAGGAUUAUUAGAAUUUGGAAAUAAGUAAUUAUUUUAUUAAAUUAUUUCAAAGUUAUGCAAAAUUAAUAUAUAUAUAUAUAUA